Molecule: ribosomal RNA, 522 nt
Filed under: uncultured bacterium
Lineage: Bacteria
Description: bacterial SSU rRNA
Rfam family: Bacterial small subunit ribosomal RNA
Source: RNAcentral
AAUAGAUACCCCGGUAGUCCACGCCGUAAACGAUGAGUGCUAAGUGUUAGAGGGUUUCCGCCCUUUAGUGCUGCAGCUAACGCAUUAAGCACUCCGCCUGGGGAGUACGGCCGCAAGGCUGAAACUCAAAGGAAUUGACGGGGGCCCGCACAAGCGGUGGAGCAUGUGGUUUAAUUCGAAGCAACGCGAAGAACCUUACCAGGUCUUGACAUCCUCUGCCAACCCUAGAGAUAGGGCGUUCCCCUUCGGGGGACAGAGUGACAGGUGGUGCAUGGUUGUCGUCAGCUCGUGUCGUGAGAUGUUGGGUUAAGUCCCGCAACGAGCGCAACCCUUGAUCUUAGUUGCCAGCAUUCAGUUGGGCACUCUAAGGUGACUGCCGGUGACAAACCGGAGGAAGGUGGGGAUGACGUCAAAUCAUCAUGCCCCUUAUGACCUGGGCUACACACGUGCUACAAUGGAUGGUACAAAGAGUUGCGAACCCGCGAGGGUAAGCCAAUCUCAUAAAGCCAUUCUCAGUUCGGA